UCAGGUUUCAGGGCUGUCUUUAAGGAGCGCACAGUCCUGACCUUUUCCAUGGACAUGGCAGUUGACCCAGACUUGCAGGUAGAGGACGAUGGCUAUGACCAGGAUGAGCUGGAGGCUGGUCUGCUGAUGGAGCUGGUGGCCACCUGCGUGGAGAUGGUGUUGGGCCGGGGCUGUGGACACGGCGAGACCUGCCAGGACUGCAGCGGCACCGGCUGCUCCGUUGGAAGACUCUGUGCUGAUGCUAAAUGGUGCCGGGAUUGAAACUGAAGAGAAGGUGGAUGCAGUGAUGUCCUGCCGUUAUGACAAGUUUCUAAGUGCUAAAACACCCAAAGCCAUUUUGAAGGACACUAAAAAUAAAGGCGGAUCAGAUAAAGGAAUGCGGGUUGUGUUGAACUUUACAGGCAGUCACAACUUCCUGCAAUGCUCCAAAAGUGAUGCUGGUGUACAUUUGAGUGUUGUGACAUGCAAGGAUGAAGAAAGUACAUCUCUAAGAAAGUCAAUCUCUAAGAAAGAUCUGCCAUUUGUCUUCUUCAUGAAAGCGAACGAGGGUGGAGAGCACACUUUAGAGUCAGCAUGUGAGGGGUGUGGAUGCAGGGCCUGCACCGAAGAAAACAGAACAAAUGGACUCACUGUACUUCUUCAUUAAGUAUCCUAAAUAAUGAGGAUACUAAAAAAGGAGUACUAAAAG
Long non-coding RNA from Alosa sapidissima (American shad), 688 nucleotides. RefSeq lists it as uncharacterized. NCBI's taxonomy places the organism in Eukaryota, Metazoa, Chordata, Actinopteri, Clupeiformes, Clupeidae. The record is from RefSeq and is a predicted model, not a curated record. The transcript has 4 exons.